Molecule: ribosomal RNA, 253 nt
Filed under: uncultured bacterium
Lineage: Bacteria
Description: partial 16S ribosomal RNA
Rfam family: Bacterial small subunit ribosomal RNA
Source: RNAcentral
GACGUAGGGCGCGAGCGUUGUCCGGAUUUAUUGGGCGUAAAGAGCGUGUAGGCGGCCAGGUAGGUCUGCUGUGAAAACUCGAGGCUUAACCUCGAGCUGUCGGCGGAAACCAUCUGGCUAGAGUCCGGAAGAGGAGAAUGGAAUUCCCGGUGUAGCGGUGAAAUGCGCAGAUAUCAGGAGGAACACCAAUUGCGAAGGCAGCUCGCUGGAACGUAACUGACGCUGAGACGCGAAAGCGUGGGGAGCAAACAGG